This 1254-nucleotide ribosomal RNA is filed under the name Triticum aestivum (bread wheat). Its description in RNAcentral is "partial small subunit ribosomal RNA". Lineage: Eukaryota; Viridiplantae; Streptophyta; Magnoliopsida; Poales; Poaceae. The record is from RNAcentral.
AUGCUAAUAUUUCUAGCAUUGCUUUUUAUUAUAUGUCCAUGUCUCUCCAAAACUAUACUUGCUAGGAUUGACAAGUGUAGAAGGAGAUUCUUUUGGCAUGUGACUCAGAAUAAGAAACGCUAUUAUCUUGUUAAGUGGACUAGAAUUUGCAUAUCUAAGAAUAAAGGAGGGUUGGGUGUGAAAGAUUUACAUAAGCAGAACCUUAGUUUGCUUACUAAAUGGUGGUGGAAAUUAGAAACUAAAUCUGGCUUGUGGCAGGAUAUUGUGAAAGCUAAAUACUUUAGUAGGGCCACUGUGGCUGACAUUAAAAUGAAGAGCAAUGACUCGCCCUGUUGGAAGGCCAUUAUGAAGGUGAAAUAUCUUUAUAUGGCAGGAAGGAGAGUGAUUAUACAAUCUGGAGACAUUGCUAGGCUAUGGAUUGACCCCAUUGGGGACAAUAUCCCUCUGGCUGAACAAUUCCCUCAUUUAUUUUCUAUAUGCAACUAUCCUGAGUGCACAGUUGAUAAGUGCUUAAAUGCUGAUCCUUCUUCUUUAUUUAGAAGGAGACUGAAUAAUGAGCUCAAUGAACAGUGGCUGAUUGUGGGUAACAUGGCUAGAGAAGAAUGUGUCUCAGAGGCCACCGAUGUGAUUAAAUGGGGUCUGGGAGGGAAAUCCUCAUUUACCACUAAAUCUGUAUACUCUAUCCUGGAAAGGAAUAUUGCUGGGUGCGACUACAGAUGGAUCUGGGGUGCCAGGAUACCUCUUAAAACUCAAAUCUUCCUGUGGCAAUUAUUUCAGGAUGCUGUCCUGACUAGAGAUGUGAUGAAACAUCGAGGUUGGAAAGGAAAUCCCAAAUGUUCCUUUUGUGAUGGGCAAGAGACUGCACAACACUUGUUCUUCACUUGCCCUGUCGCUAGGGUGACCUGGAGGACAGUGGCAUGCAUGUUUGGCACUGCAAUAUGCCCCGAUAAUAUUUGGCAAGCCUAUGUGUGGUGCUUUACGUUCUUUCCUGCUGGGGAAAAGUUUUAUACAACGGGAAUUGCUGCUGUGUGUUGGGCGAUCUGGUCUUGUCAUAAUAGAGCUACCAUCGAGUUCAAACCUCUUACAAAUCCUUUUGAAUGUAUCUUCUCUGCCUGUGCUCUAAUGUGCUACUGGGCAGGACUGCUGAAGCAAGAUGACGCGACUACCAUGAGAGAUGGGGCAAAGAUGCGGAAGGAGAACGCGUCGAUGAUGAUGAGAAUCUGUGCGGUGAAUCACGAAGAAUCGGCAUGUUGA